RNAcentral lists this ribosomal RNA (774 nucleotides) under uncultured Neocallimastigales. RNAcentral's name for it is "partial large subunit ribosomal RNA". It matches the Rfam family "Eukaryotic large subunit ribosomal RNA", at positions 20 to 627 of the family's 3401-position model. Lineage: Eukaryota; Fungi; Neocallimastigomycota; Neocallimastigomycetes; Neocallimastigales. The record is from RNAcentral.
UACUAGAGUAGCACUCGCAUAUCAAUAAGCGGAGGAAAAGAAACUAACAAGGAUUCCCCUAGUAACGGCGAGUGAAGCGGGAAGAGCUCAAAUUUGAAAUCUUAAAGGGUUUCCCUUUACGAAUUGUAGUUUAAAGAAGUGUUUUCUGUUGAGGUUUUGGUAAAAGUUCUUUGGAAUAGGACAUCAUAGAGGGUGAGAAUCCCGUAUUUGACCUUUACUUUCAACUUUGUGAUACACUUUCAAAGAGUCGGAUUGUUUGGGAAUGCAGUCCAAAAUGGGUGGUAAAUUUCAUCUAAAGCUAAAUAUUGGCGAGAGACCGAUAGCGAACAAGUACCGUGAGGGAAAGAUGAAAAGAACUUUGAAAAGAGAGUUAAACAGUACGUGAAAUUGUCAAAAGGGAAGCGUUCGACACCAGUGUUGUUUUUCUGAAAAUCAAUUAAAGAACUGUUUAUGCUAAGCUGUUUAGACUUUAUCAGCUAUCUGUUUAGUUUUGAGCUUUUCUUUAAUGCACUUUUCAGUUAACAAGUCAACAUCAAUUUCUUUUGCUGUAAAAAAGCUUGAGGAAGGUGGCUUGAGAUUCGUCUUAAGUGUUUAUAGCCUCUUGCCUAUGCAGUCGGAGAGAUUGAGGUCUGCAGCGUAGAUCCUUCGGGGCUAAAUGCAUUUGUGCUAAGUUAUAGCAUUUUAUAGACAACUUGUUGACUAUGAUUUGUCUUGUAGCUUACUCGCUUAUGUUAUUUUACCUACGCUUAGGAUGUUGAACUCUAUCACACACAG